This 968-nucleotide long non-coding RNA is filed under the name Homo sapiens (human). RNAcentral's name for it is "HSALNT0405026". The record is from RNAcentral. Lineage: Eukaryota; Metazoa; Chordata; Mammalia; Primates; Hominidae.
AGUAAGCGGCGCGAGCGUGCGAGUUUCUGACGCGCCCGCGUCGUCCCAGCUCCCUGGACUACCAGUAUUGUCGCCCACGUGGGCUUCUCUUUCGUCCGCUCAGGCCUCACUUUUCUCCGUAAACACCCCGGCACGAUGGAGCGGCCCCAGCGUUCGGGAGCGGCCCGGGAGCGGAAAGCGGCAGUGUCCUGGGAGCCUCGAAAGCCGCAGGGGCGGCAGCUCGCCUCGGAAUGACCUCUGACGGAAGAAAUAAAACGGGGCCUGGGACGCUUGCACGAAAGAACCCGACAAAAACCAGAGCCCGCACUCACUCUCGUACUGGGGAGGUGGACUUCAGGGAGGGUUAUCUGGAGGAGGAAUCUCUCAAAGUACAACACAGGAGAAAGACAGUAUCGCAAUACAGAAAUUUUAUUUUUUAUUUUAUUAUUAUUUUCCUGAGACCGGAGUCUCGCUCUGUCGCCCAGGCUGGAGUGCAGUGGCGCGAUCUCGGCUCACUGCAAACUCCGCCUCCCGGGUUCACGCCAUUCGGCUGCCUCACCCUCCACAGUAGCUGGGACUACAAGCGCCCGCCACCACGCCCGGCUAAUUUGCAAUACGGAAAUUUUAAUAGCCUCAGCUUCCACGGAAUCCAUGCCCACAUCUUCAUAAUCCUCCAGAGCUGCCAGAUCCUCGCGGGCCUCGGAGAAUUCCCCCACUGCCAUGCCCUCCCCCACGUACCAGUGCACUAAGGCGCACUUGGCCGAACUUAUGGUCCAGGCAGGCCCAGGCCUCCGUGAUGGCCGUGGUGUUGCUCAGCAUGCACACCGCCCGCUGCACUUUGGCCAGGUCUCCCACAGGGACCACCGUGGGGGGCUGGUAGUUAAUGCCCACCUGUCAGAGAUGGGCAGCAUAGAAUGAAGUUUAUAUUGGCCUCAGAAAUGGGAGCUCAUUAAAAAUCAGAGCUGUGGACCAGUUCCAACACUGUGUUU